Molecule: long non-coding RNA, 1765 nt
Organism: Antechinus flavipes (yellow-footed antechinus)
Lineage: Eukaryota; Metazoa; Chordata; Mammalia; Dasyuromorphia; Dasyuridae
Exons: 2
Source: RefSeq, a predicted model, not a curated record
AUUGAGAACUCUUUAUUUAAUGAUGGAUAAACUAAUACAAUUUUGCAAGCAAUCAAGGAAUUAUGAAAAUCUCUAGCCUAUAUAUGAUGGAUAACACAUUGAGUUGUGUGAAACAACCUUCACAGCAAAGCAAUCAUUCCCAGAUAGCAAUAGCAAUGAUUUCUAUCUGUUCCAAUAAAAUCAACAAUCCCACGUGUUAAGUUUCUUUAACACCGAGUCUGACACAGAUAGAUUACUAGAAAGAAUCACAGAAUCCCAGGAAAGGUCUUUCAAAUUCUGGAAAAGUAGAUCUUUAAGUGUAUAAAGAAUUCCUAUUUAGCUUGUUUCUUAGAUGGAUCUAUCAUAGAUUUUCUAUUAAUCUCUUACUCAAUCAUAUUUCCCAAAAGAGAGAUGAGUGCUUUUUCUUCACUCUAUAACCCUGACACUUCUCAUGAUUUCCAAAGUUGUAACUUCAACUUGAGAACUGAUUAAUAUUCAUUUGCCCUUCUGUCCAUGACUUUUCCCCCCACAUCAGAGAAGAUAGCAUGCCAUUAGGGAUAGUUUUGUUUUGCUUUUUUUUAUCUUAAUGAAAUGAGUAAUAGUUUAAAAUUCUUAAUAUGUUGAACAUAUAAAGUAGGUUCAAUACCAAUCACAUUUUUAUUGGAUCCCAGGCACACAAUGCAAAAUUUGACUGUUAAAAAUACAUAAUAUUUAGUGUUUUCAUUUGAACAUUUAUUUGGUUUAUAAUAUAAACUCAACAUUUAGGUGAAGCCUCCAGAUGAUUUCCACUACAAUACUCAGGCUCAUUAAUGUUUAAAAUCAAACUAGAUAUGCCAGAGCUUAAUAGUUUGAUAUGUGAAGAAAUAGGAAAAGAUUUAGGGAAAGAACUUCACAAGAAAGAAGCACAAUUUGUUUGAAUUGACUAUCCUAGAAUAUUGCCAAUGAUGCAGAAACAAUAAGAAAAAAGCCUUUCUUUUUCAGUGUUCCUAAGCCCAAGACCAAUCUAGCUGAGGAUAUCUGCCUAUUUUAGUUAUGGGGAAUCUCUCAGAGUUCUUUUGGAAAACUUUGAUUUGCCAAUUGAAAUAUAAUACAGUUCAACAGGACGGAAGACUUAUGGAAGCACUAAACUAUCAAGGUGGAGUGAAAUGCAUAUGAACUGAAAUGGGCAUAGCUCUUCCCUAACCAGGUUAAUAAAAAAAGUUUCUGUCUUUUUCAUGCAGUGAGAUCUCAGAUAAAUGAUUAGAAUCAAAAUUAUAGAAUGUGAGAACUAGAAGUGACCAGUCUAGCUUUUUCAUUUUUAUAGAUGGGUAAAGUGAGGCCCCAAAGAAUGUUCUAGAAGACUUUGCUCCAUGAGGUUAGAGCCUGGAACAAGUCGGGUCUCUCUUAACAGUAAUAGUCCUUGAUGAUUUGCCAAAAGUUAUAAAAGUCAGCAGCUGAGCAGAACCCAAUCCUCCUGACUCUGAACUCAAUCUUCUUCCCCCUAUAGUAUGCUAUUUCACAGCUAUGGUAAAAUACAAGCACUAAGAAGAAGAAGAACAAAAUCAACUUGGCACUUGAAGGAACUAGCAAAUAAGUAGAACUUGGAGCAGAGAAGAAUCUUGCUCUCCUGUUCACUAUCAUUUGCUCAGCUGGCAAGAUUUCUCAAAAGGAAUUUUCUUCAUCAUUUAAAGUACCAGAACAAGGUGAUUAGAGUGAUAAAUACCCCGCUUUUACCGGAGCUACCAUGGUGAUGGACAGGGCUUAGACUUCUACUCCGACUUCGGUUGACAUUUCUCACAGAUGACCA